RNAcentral lists this transfer RNA (71 nucleotides) under Cygnus atratus (black swan). Its description in RNAcentral is "tRNA-Arg". RNAcentral also lists the same sequence under 1 other name. Lineage: Eukaryota; Metazoa; Chordata; Aves; Anseriformes; Anatidae. The record is from RNAcentral.
AGAAAGUUAGUCUAACUAAGAAGACAGCUGGUUUCGGCCCAGCAGAUUACGGCCAACCCCGUAACUUUCUU